This 454-nucleotide ribosomal RNA is filed under the name Chloropicon roscoffensis. Its description in RNAcentral is "partial 18S ribosomal RNA". It matches the Rfam family "Eukaryotic small subunit ribosomal RNA", at positions 691 to 1148 of the family's 1831-position model. Lineage: Eukaryota; Viridiplantae; Chlorophyta; Chloropicophyceae; Chloropicales; Chloropicaceae. The record is from RNAcentral.
GCGCCUUAUUGUCGAGGACGUGGUUCUAGCUUUCAUUAGCCGGGACACGGAGUCGGCAGCGUUACUUUGAGAAAAUUAGAGUGUUCAAAGCAGGCUAUCGCUCUGAAUACUACAGCAUGGAAUAACACGAUAGGACUCCGAGCCUAUUCUGUUGGUCUUCGGGACCGGAGUAAUGAUUAAGAGGGACAGUUGGGGGCAUUCGUAUUCCGAUGUCAGAGGUGAAAUUCUUGGAUUAUCGGAAGACGAACAUCUGCGAAAGCAUUUGCCAAGGAUGUUUUCAUUAAUCAAGAACGAAAGUUGGGGGCUCGAAGAAGAUCAGAUACCUUCCUAGUCUCAACCAUAAACGAUGCCGACUAGGGAUUGGCGGAUGUUUUUUAUGACUCCGUCAGCACCUUACGAGAAAUCAAAGUCUUUGGGUUCCGGGGGGAGUAUGGUCGCAAGGCUGAAACUUAAA